Molecule: long non-coding RNA, 517 nt
Organism: Oncorhynchus tshawytscha (Chinook salmon)
Lineage: Eukaryota; Metazoa; Chordata; Actinopteri; Salmoniformes; Salmonidae
Source: Ensembl
UAUAAAGUCUUGCUGUUGUUAUUUUACUGCUGCUCUUUAAUUACUUGUGACUUUUAUUUCUUAAUCUUAUCCGUAUUUUUUUUUUUUUACUGCAUUGUCUACUACACCUGUUGUAUUCAGCAUUUCCCUGUCAGGUCUACCUACACCUGUUGUAUUCAUCAUUUCCCUGUCAGGUCUACCUACACCUGUUGUAUUCAGCAUUUCACUGUAAGGUCUACCUACACCUGUUGUAUUCAGCAUUUCACCGUAAGGUCUACUACACCUGUUGUAUUCAGCAUUUCACUGUUAGGUCUACACCUGUUGUAUUCAGCAUUUCACUGUAAGGUCUACUACACCUGUUGUAUUCAUCAUUUCCCUGUCAGGUCUACCUACACCUGUUGUAUUCAGCAUUUCACUGUAAGGUCUACCUACACCUGUUGUAUUCAGCAUUUCACUGUAAGGUCUACUACACCUGUUGUAUUCAGCAUUUCCCUGUCAGGUCUACCUACACCUGUUGUAUUCAGCAUUUCCCUGUCAG